GGCGAACGCUGGCGGCGUACUUAACACAUGCAAGUCGAACGAGGGGUUUCGGUGUAGCAAUACACCGGAGCUUCGAGUGGCGCACGGGUGAGUAACACGUGGGUGACCUGCCCUCAGCUCUGGGAUAAGCCUGGGAAACCGGGUCUAAUACCGGAUAUGACUCCAUGACGCAUGUUGUGGGGUGGAAAGCCUUGUGCGGCUGAGGAUGGGCCCGCGGCCUAUCAGCUUGUUGGUGGGGUGAUGGCCUACCAAGGCGACGACGGGUAGCCGGCCUGAGAGGGCGACCGGCCACACUGGGACUGAGACACGGCCCAGACUCCUACGGGAGGCAGCAGUGGGGAAUCUUGCGCAAUGGGCGAAAGCCUGACGCAGCGACGCCGCGUGAGGGAUGACGGCCU
Molecule: ribosomal RNA, 398 nt
Filed under: uncultured bacterium
Lineage: Bacteria
Description: bacterial SSU rRNA
Rfam family: Bacterial small subunit ribosomal RNA
Source: RNAcentral